GUUCAUGAUUUGGCCAGAUAUAUUAUGUCAGCUAUUUUUUCAGGUCAAUGUAUAAACUAGUGAGCCACGUUUACAUUUCUUUUUUAAUGGAAGGGAUAUCUUGCUAAACAAUUUCUUGCCUCUUUCUGUACUUAAAAUCCAUGUGGGGUUAUGAUAUAUGUAAAUGCAUACACUGCAUGAUAAAAUGUACAUAAUAUCUGGAAUGGGUGCUGCUGGGGACAUCAGGUACAUUAUACUGCCUACAGUAAUGAGAAAGCCUAGUGGGGUGACGCCACAAGGGAGGUCUUCCAAAAGUAAUCAUUUCCAGGAUUGGGCCGUUCCAGGGCUCAGUUUGUAUGGCAAAUAUGUUAUAUUAUUUAGAAUAUAGAUGUUUUGCUAAUAACCUUGUGAGCCUUCAAAUACUUAUGGCUGGCUUGGCAUCAGUUGGGCAAAGUAAAGAACAUUUUUAUACCCCUGCCCAUAAUCUUGUUUCCUAUUAGUAUCUUCAUUGUAAAAUUCCUGUGGCCCUGCCAGUAGCCUGUCCAUUGAGUGGGGAAUGGUUUCUUCCUGCAGAGUUGUGUGUGAUUCUUUGUUGGACUGUUACAAGCAAAGUCUCUUUCCAUUAUAACUCUCUUGUACAGUUAUAAUGGCGUUUAAUUUAUACAAAAACUGUGAUGUUAAAGUAAUUAAAACAGACAGAUGUUAUGCACAGUGUAACUGCUCUUCUGUUUUGUUAGAUGAACGGAUCAGAACAGCAGGAAGUGAUGUCUUCUCUUUACUGAUGCCCCGUACGCUGACCAACUUGCUGUUUAAGCAAAUUACAUUUUCAAGCUUGCCCAAUCAAAAAACAAACUGAUAUGCGUAGUUAGAUAUUGAUCUAGAUCAUCAGGCCACUACAAGCAUAUCAAAAAUUGCAAAAAUAGUUUGAUAGAAUCCUCUUGUUCAGCUUCUGUGAGGACAAUGGAACUAGUGGUAACACAACCUCUGCUAUAGAACCAAUAGGCUAGGUUAUGGACCUCUGUUCCACAGACAAGGCAUUAUGCUGCAAAUCUACGUACUAUUCAAACUUACUACUUUUUAAACUUGAUUGUAUCUGUAAUGGCUAUAAUGAGGGACUAAGACACCUCCAACUGUGUGAAAGAAUUGUUCUAUAGGCAAAUAACAUAUUCUGUAAUGUAAAUUCUAAGCUAAUUCAAGCUCCCGUGGCAAUGUAGGGGACAUAUGUAUGAAACGUCUGGUUCGCUUUUAUAUAACAAAUGCCGUUUAAAUUACUUUUGCAUAAUCUUGCUAUCCUAACCCUCUAAAUAAAACCCAGUGCUCUGGGAAACCAUGAGCAAAGAUGACGUGUAGCAGAUGUAUCCCGAUACACUUAGUAAAAUGUAUGUCUUAUGACUGGGUUCAUUGGCCAAUGGGGCUGGAUUGGAUAAUGCCUCUAUAUUAACAUGAGAACAACACUGCAAACCAUGAAACUAGAGUUUUUACUAAACUGUUGUAUUAAUAACAAAUAAAAUUUUAGAAAGUCAA
Xenopus tropicalis (tropical clawed frog) is the source of this 1503-nucleotide long non-coding RNA. RefSeq lists it as uncharacterized. The record is from RefSeq and is a predicted model, not a curated record. Lineage: Eukaryota; Metazoa; Chordata; Amphibia; Anura; Pipidae. The transcript has 2 exons.